Pelobates cultripes (western spadefoot toad) is the source of this 246-nucleotide non-coding RNA. Lineage: Eukaryota; Metazoa; Chordata; Amphibia; Anura; Pelobatidae. The record is from the annotation of a GenBank genome assembly.
GGAGAAGUAUGAGACUCCCCUCCCCAUCUAGGCUUUUUUUCUUUUCUUUUGUCUAUGCCUUUAUGUCAGUUCUGCUCAGUCCUUAGCACAAUUUAUUAGCAAUGCAUUGUGUUGUGUAGUCCUUAUUUUUUUUUUAACAUUCCAUUUUUCUUUAGGCACAAUGACUCUCAUGUGUUCCGUAUCUCCCGCUGUCUGUUUUAAACCAUUUCUGUUCAUUUCAGUUACAUUUUGCCUUCUGCUCUGUUU